RNA transcript from Nymphaea colorata (pocket water lily), 8068 nucleotides. RefSeq lists it as uncharacterized. The record is from RefSeq and is a predicted model, not a curated record. The transcript has 7 exons. NCBI's taxonomy places the organism in Eukaryota, Viridiplantae, Streptophyta, Magnoliopsida, Nymphaeales, Nymphaeaceae.
UCUUCUUCUUCUUCUUCUUGAGUCGUGAGUUCAUUGAAUCUGUGUUGCCAUAUCUCGUUUCGCAACUCGAUUUGAUUGCUUUUAUUCAAUGUCGGUUGCGUGACUGCGUUAAUAAGGCUGGUGUUGGCCCUGUUGGGUUUUUCGUUUUUGCCCCCCCUUUUUCAACGCUUGUUUUGUUUCCGUCGUUUUAUUUUCUCGUUUAAUCGUAUCUUAGUUCCACACUUCCACUUCUCUCUGUUUUUGUUCUUUUGUGAUAAUUUUGAUGCGGAAUAUGAAUACUUUUUGGACUGAGUUUUUCUCCUUCACUUUUGGGUUCUUGGGGACUUAGGGUUUUGGUGUCUUUGUGAGGUAGAAAUGAGUGGUUUAUGUCAAUGAUUUGUGAAUUCCAUUUCUUCAAUUUGAUGUAAAUGAAGGGAUUUGUCCUUCUCUAACUGGUUGAGUGGUUUCUAUCUUUUUCAUUUUCUGAUGGAAACUGAUAUCAAUUUUUAAUGCAUUCCCGAAAGAAAAGCGAGAACAAAUUGAAAUCUACUUGAGGUAUGCUGCUUGAUUUUAUUCAAAAACCGCUUGUCAUAUAAUGAAGUGACUGUUUCAAGACGAGAACAGUGAAUGAUGAGAUGUGGAUUAGUUCAAUGAAGCUAAAUUGGUUCAAAGGCUUGUUCAUUUUCCAUUACAAGAAUAAGCAAAUCACAGCCAUCGGAUCAAGCAGCCGGAGAGUAGACAGUUACUUGCUUAGGUAUUGUUUUUCUCCUUUCGGUUGCCUCAGAUUUAAGAUUCAAUUCAGUGCUCAUUUGAGAUCUGUGACGAGAUUGUGGGAUUGCAUUUUUACUUUAUGAUCUUCAGUUGGCCGAUUUCCGUGUGAAAACAUCGUGCCCGACAUUGUUCAGACUUGUAACCAUUAAUAGCUGCUCCUCUAGUUCCAGUUCUAUACAGAGAGACACUAGAGAGAGAGAAAGAGAGCUGAAUUUUUGGUUAGUUACCAACACUGUAGCCUAAAUUCGACAGUUUUCUUUGCCAAAGGGAUACUUGAAAAUGGAAGGAUAUUAAUGGGUUCAGAGUUUAAAUGAUGAAAUUGCCACUAACUUUGAGUUGCAGAAACACACAAAGUAUUUAUAUCUGAUCUACCAAGAUAGUGAAAUUGACACAAGAAGUGAUAUGUGAAGUGAAAAUGUCUAGAAUAAUGGAUAGGAUUAAGCGGGGAAGCGUCAUGAAGCGAGACACGAAGGAGAGCAAAGUUGGGAAGCGAGUUUCCCUACUAGUGGACUUCACAUAUUAGGACAAAGCCCGUUGAAAAAUUCAUGCUGGUGCUAGACAACUUGUAGAUAGCUGUUAGUCAAUUUUUAAUGUUGGUUUACUUUCUGCCAUUACCACAUGCUUAGACAGUUAAAGAUUUGUAAGUUUUUGAGACAAAUGAAAGUGUUUUCUUAUGAUUUUUUGGCCAUUAUUUACAACAGCCACCGCUCUUCAUGUAUUAGCUUAUGAUUAUCUGCUUUAUUUUUAAAAUAACAUAUAUUUUAAUUUGAUUUUUUUUCACGUACUAUAUGCUAAUGCCCCAUAGCCAAAAAUUUCUGGCUCCACCACUGGUCCAAAGUCUCCAGACGUGCACAUUUGGACAGGUGAGGUGCAUUAACUUAGAAUCAAAAUGUAGCUCAAUAUGCAAGUUUCUUAUCCUCGUCUGGGUGCUGACAGAAAGGCCUCAUCGUCCAGAAUGGGUGCAAAUAUAAUGAUUAAGAAAAGACUUCAGAUAAACAAUACAUUGAAUAUUUGAGUUUGUAUACAUAUUUUGUUGGAAUUUUUAAAACUUCUGAUGAAGUUUGGUUGUGUUGAUCGGACCUUAGAAAGUUGAAGCAUCGGACACAAGUAUCUGGAAAUCACAAUUAACAUAAACAAGCUUGUUUCACGUAUUUCUUCUCCUUUUUUCCUUGAAUCUCGUGAUAGGACUUGAGGCCUUUUCUUCAUCUUUCAAUUUUUUGAUGUACACAGGCAUAAUGUCUUUUUUUAGGGAAGUAUACUAGCUGUACACUUUCACAAUGAAAGGACUUAGAUGUACACUUUUUUAUUUUCUUGAAAAUUAGGUGGAAGACUAACAGGGAGUAUAGUCUUUUCCAGAGUUUGAUUUGUUUAAAAAUAUGAAAUUUAGGAGCUAUAUUCUUAGAAUAUGAUGCAUGAAGCAGACAUCAUAUCUACUUUCAGUUCCGUGCUUUGUGCUUCUUGAGUAGUAUAUAAGGCUGUAAGCUGUCAGAUUGGUCUACAAUUUUUUACCUGUGUAAGUAUAGUGUAUGCUAGAGACUUGGAACAAAAAACUAGAGAUCAAGUUUUUUUUUUCUCUUUUUCUGCUAUGUUUUCACUCAAUUUUCUUGAGAAUUGAAAAGACCUAAGACCAGUCGAAGCCUUUACUUUCUAUUGCUUUAGUUGGCAGCCAGGUGUCUAUUGUUUAAUUGAUCUAAAGUGCUAGUGAAGCGCCAGAGAUGGCGGAUUAAUUAACUUUUAAUAUGUUAAAUUAAAAUAUGAAACAAGUUUUUCAGAAAAAUGAUUUCUCACGAAUCAAACAGAACAAAUUUAAUUAAAUAAUAUAAUUUCGACGUUCAAAUCAGUAUUGUCAUCAAAAUUGGCCUACCCAUUUGGUUCCAUAGCCAAUUCAAUAGUGCCAUGUGUCAACUUUUUGAUAUUUUAAAAUAUUUUAAGAAUUUUAUAAACACACCGAAUGCUUUAGGAUUAUAUAAUAACCACCAGUGGCAACGUCAAGAUCAUCAUCUCUUGCACUUGCUAUUUUUCCAAAUCAAACAAUAAUCUGCCGUCCACAGCACGGUACAGUAUAUAGUCUGAAGGUCCGACCAUCAGGCCGUCCUCAACUUUGACUGAGUUAUAUAUAUAUAUAUAUAUCGAGAGAGAAGACUUGGCCACAUCAAAACAACUCUCAACGUAAAUCAACACUCUUUCAUACCAUUAAGAUAAUACAUUUCAGAAGCAAAAUGGGGAUCUAGUUAAUAUAUGCGCGCUGCCCAUAAAUGGUAGAGAGAGAGAGAGAGAGAGAGAGAGAGAGAGAGAGAGAGAGUGAACUCAGAAGUGCGAGAAAGAAAGAGAAAAAGAGGAAUAUGCUUGGAAUCUGAUGAGAUUUGGCAACACAGAAAACCAAGUUCUCAACGGCUCUUUCUAUGUGUAUGCUUUGCCAAAAUUGCUCUUGUUCUUUUUCUGAAUUUCCUUGCACUUUCUUCACAAGGAGAUUAAUUGGGUAGAACUGUAAAGUGGUAGGGUCGGCAUUUGAUCCAAGGUUUUCAUCUCAGCACUUCACGACUCCCUCUUUUAUUUGUUUUUUGAAUCAGCAAGCAAAAGGUUACAGUUCGAACAACUAUUAAUGGUAGUUGCCUUGUCAAUAAACGAAAACUGCGUCACAGCUGAAACUGUUCUUCUUUCUUUUUCUAAACUAAGGCACCAAGAACAGAAAUUUAAAAUUUUAUUUUUAUUUACUAAGAACAGAGACGAAUUGAAUGUUAUGAUCUAAGGGGUCAUGUCAGUUUUCUCUUAUAAUGAGUGAGUACAUUUUAUUGAGAAAUGCAAAAACACAUGCCCCAUUUUUGUCAUUUCGUGUAAAGAAAAAAAUAGUGUGUUUGAUAGUAAGCUUUGCGGGAAAAUGACAUUCUUGAUAUUUGUUUUACAAAAAAUGAUUAAAAUCCUUAUUUGUCUUGCAUAACAGUAAAAUUUUAAUGAGGCCCAAUGUAUUAGAAAUGGGACUCAAUUCUAUAUGGUAAUGGUAUAGUAAAAAACUCAAAACCACAUUUAUCUAUAUCGUGUGCGUGAGACUGGGACUCCCUUGUAUACAAAAAAUCAUAUAAUUAUCUUUUUUACCAAGUAAUCCAACCCAAGAGACGUGUUCUCAAAUUGAAGAAGAUGUUCUAGUUCAUUUUUGCACCAAGAAAGUAAAACGCACAAAGAAUUCGCUUGACGGAUGUUUUGGAGCCAGUAGUUUCCAUGUUUGCAGAAAUGACAAACAUGUCCUGAAGAUAAGCUUUUUGGAUGCAUGUUGACCACAUCAACCUGCUUUGGAAUAGAAAAAGAUGGCAACCAAACUGGAAGAUCCGUAAUUUUUUUUCUUUGUCAAACAUAAGAAUGUUUUUAUCAAUGAAAAGAAAAGCUGCAAAUGAUAAAGCCAAAUCGAAUUGUAUUCAAUUUGAACCGAGACAAAGUAAAAAAACGUAGACUGAGAUUGGAAAUUGAGAUGUAGGUGACUCCAACUAACAGGAAAAAAUUAAUGAAAACUGAAAAAAUGGAAAUUAAAAUUAAAAUAGGUAAUUGACUUUCCUCUUUAAUAUGCGGGUGGCGUCUCCCUUUUGAGCAGCCGUUCCCAAGCAUUACACGCUAGCGAGAGAGAGAGAGAGAGAGAGAGAUUUCUUGCCAGAUGAUUCAUUCGUAGGGUUGUUGAGCUGGGUACAUCGUUUUUGCUGUUUGCUGUUAGAUUUUGGUUAAUUGAGCAAUUGCUUUGCCGAAAUCUGCUUCUUGGAGAGAGAGAGAGAGAGAGAGAGAGAUUUCUUGUAAGAUGAUUCAUUCAUAGAGUUGUGGAGCUGGGUACAUCGUUUUUGCUGUUUGCUUUUAGAUUUUGGUUAAUUUGAGCAAUUGGUUUGCCGGAAUCUGCUUAUUGGAGCGAGAGAGAGAGAGAGAGAGAGAGAGAGAGAGAGAGAGAGAGAGAGAGAGAUUUCUUGUAAGAUGAUUCAUUCAUAGAGUUGUGGAGCUGGGUACAUCGUUUUGCUGUUUGCUGUUAGAUUUUGGUUAACUUGAGCAUUUGGUUUGCCGGAAUCUGCUUCUUGGAGAGAGAGAGAGAGAUGUCUGUAGUCCAGAAAGAGUUGAAGGAUUCAGGAUCGUCGUCUCCCUCACGCCCCAAUUCAGCUGAUGGGUCGUCUCCUACCGCGCGGUUCUGCAAUCUCAGAGGUGUCCAGUGGCGUAUCAAUCUAGGGGUUUUACCAUCCAUUUCUUCCUCAAUUGACGAUCUUCGACGAGUGGCUGCGGAUUGUCGGAGGAGGAUGUGUGAGAACGUGCAGUACUGUGUCUCUCUUUCAAAAUUGGAUUACAUAAUUGAUGGUUGCAAACGUUAGGUAUUUUGUGGAAGGUGAAAAUUAAGUUAUUGGUAUGUUGGUUUUACAAGAUUCACGUUCAAUACAUCUUAAAAUUGGUUAAUGAUGAAACUUAGAUAUGCUCCCGUAGGUGGUGUAUGUUUCAAUAACCGAGAGUUUCGGGUGCCCCCUUUACAACUAAGGCUGGGCAUCGGGCCGGCCCGGCCCGAAAAAAUUGACAAACCCUGAGCCCAUUAACACUACCGGGCCAGCCCGAGACCCGGCCCGUUUGUAACCGGGCCGGGCCGGGCCGAUGAACUAUCGGGCCUCGGGCUUGAAAUUACGCCCGAGGCCCGGCCCGGCCCAAUUAUUGACGGGCCUGGUGUCGGGCCGCGCCGGGCUUCCCUCUUGCUACUGUCGUGAACGGCCUUGCUGCUACCGUGAAGGGCCUCUUGCUGCUGCCGUGCCGUGAAGGGUCUCACUUUCAAGCCUUUCUCCCUUCUUUUUCCGUUGUUUUUUCCUCCCCCGCUUUUCAUUUGCAAGCGAACACUCCACGGGUUCUUGUUGGCCAUACAUUCCCUCUUCAAUUUGAUGACUGGUUGCAAUGCGAGGUUGUUGUGCAAGACAGACAACAAAAGCAGGAUGUUGUUUGGCUAGGCAGUUGAGAGUGAGACUCAAUGCCUCUGCCUCUGUUGUAGUAUGAUAGAAGUAGAAGAGGCGGAAGGAAGACAUACCUCUCUCUCCCUCUCACCCUCUGUGUUCUUGGUUCUUUCCCCCUUUCCUUGGUUGUUAGAAUGAUGGAGAUAAAAAGGAGAAGAAAGUCAGAUGAAGAAUCACUCGUCAUCAUCAAAGGACUCACCAGAGGAAACAGCCGGAGGGGAUUGUGAUCCACAAAACAGCAAAUUUCUGAAAACCCAAACCCCAACCUCAAUCCGAACAGAGCGGACUGCUCAUCCCACGCAACCUCCACUCUGCUGGCGUCCUCUUCACCUGCCACUUCCCAUCACCAACCUUUGUUGGCAUCCUCUUCACUGCCAGUCAGCCACUUCCCAGUGGCGAUGGCAGAUUCCUCAUCCCCCGCAACCUCCACUUACUCUCCCUCCCCACGACUUUCCCUCUCUACCGCCUUCGACAUAACCUCUAUUUUUUUUUAGAUAGUCGGGUUUAUCGGGCCGCCGACGGUAACAUGUUCAAGCCUGAACCCGGCCCGUUAAAGUAACGGGCCGGGCCGAGCCCGAUAAAACGGGCCCGAUAACUAAUUUUUCUAAGCCCAGGCCCGGGCCCGAACCGGGCCGGGUAUCGGGUACCCGGCGGCGGCCCGGCUCGGUGCCCAGGCUUAUUUACAACCUGUUGUUGCUCCUGUAGAACAGUCACAAAAGUGGACUAAGACCUUCGUAAUUGCUCUAGGCACCUAUCUAUCUCAAGACGAAGCCCUUCGACAAGUGCGUUAGGGUCUGGUAGGGGCAUUGUUAUUGGCUGCCAGUAUUGGUUAUUGAACUCAGGUGGGUGGCCUCCUCUUCUGUUAUCAUAUGCCCGUCGGUCACAACAAGGUAUGUGGUCAGAAUUUUCCCUCAAACGUGAAACCGUAGGCUCCCAUUCUUGUUGGUAUCUUCUCAAACGGUUGGCUCCACUUCUGCUCUCAAUAUCAUAUGCCCGUCGGUCACAACAAGGUAUGUGGUCAGAAUUUUCCCUCAAACGUGAAACCGUAGGCUCCCAUUCUUGUUGGUAUCUUCUCAAAUGGUUGGCUCCACUUCUGCUCUCAAUAUAUCUACAGGUAUACGUGUGACAACCGCUUGACCUUUUCCUUGGCUGGAAUAAUCUAGCACCCACUUCAGCUCUUAGUCUGUAUUUGAUCCCCCUAUUUUCUGAACGUCUCCCUCUGUAAAUUGUAGGUACCGAUUUGCUACCAUUUUUCGAACCGAGAGGAGGGUGCUGUGAUCGGGAGAUAGGUAGGGCUGCACAACGAGUCGAACCAACUCGGGCUCGACUCGAACUCGCUCGAAAAAGCUCGGCUCGAGCUCGACUCAUUUAUAAACGAGUCGAGUUCGAGUUGAAAGUUAAGCUCGAGUCAAUAAACGAGUCGAGUUCGAGUUGCAAGAACUCGACUCGUUUAAACUCGACUCGACUCGUUAAUUGAAAAUUAGAUGAACCGGUUUUCGAAACCGGUUCAGCGGUUUAGGGUAAAUUUGUUUUUUCUUUUGGCUCUCGUCUAAUCUCAAUCCCGCGCCGUCUGCUCUCCCUCUUGGCUCUCGUCUUCUCAAUCCUGCGCCGUCUGCUCUUCCCCUCUUCCAUCGACCAGAGGCACCCUCUCUUCCGCUGCUCCGCAGACCGUUGCUGGCUUUCUGCCGCGGCCUUCUCUUGCCACUGGCCCCCGCGCCCCACCCCACUCUCGCUGCUGCUGCCUGACCUCACAGCUUGCUGGACUCCUGCUCCCACCUUCACGCCAGUCAGACGACGCAUCUAUCGCCUUUCCCCUUCUCUCGUUGUUGCUGCCUCACAGCCUCAGGCGCGUCCCUCUCACUCUUGCUGGACUCCUGCUCCCGCCUUCACGCCAACAGGAGCGGGAAGGCGAGAUUCAGCCGGAGCUACCCAAACUCGACGAGGGUUUCUACGAGAUCGAAGACGUCAGGAAGAAGCGGACGAGGAAGGGUCAGGUUCAGUAUCUCAUAAAAUGGCGGGGAUGGCUGGAGACAGCGAAUACGUGGGAGCCGGAGGAGAACCUCCAGAGUUGCCGAGAUAUCCUCGAAGCUUAUGAAGAGAGGACAUUCAUGAGAAGACCGGCUUGCCUGGGGUUGAUAUGGGAGUGAAGGAGGCUACUGAUGAAUUUUCUCUUAUGACUGUUCUAGAGCCUAAAAUAUGUGAGUUGCAAGCGGGUCAGUUGAUUUUACAAGAGGCCCCUAGAGAUAGUAGACUCCAGGGAUGCUGGGACAGGAAAUGCAGCUCUACAAGCAAUAAUGAUUGUAUCCUGUGGCUUGACAAGAUUGUGCAACAAUGAAAGAACUAUGUGGCUUGAUCAUGCUUCAGCA